CGUAGGGUGCAGGCGUUAAUCGGAAUUACUGGGCGUAAAGCGUGCGCAGGCGGUUUCUUAAGUCAGAUGUGAAAGCCCCGGGCUUAACCUGGGAACUGCGUUUGAAACUGGGAGACUUGAGUGUGGCAGAGGGGGGUGGAAUUCCACGUGUAGCAGUGAAAUGCGUAGAUAUGUGGAGGAACACCGAUGGCGAAGGCAGCCCCCUGGGUUAACACUGACGCUCAUGCACGAAAGCGUGGGGAGCAAACAGGAUUAGAUACCCUGGUAGUCCACGCCCUAAACUAUGUCAACUGGUUGUCGGGGGAUUAACUCCCUUGGUAACGAAGCUAACGCGUGAAGUUGACCGCCUGGGGAGUACGGCCGCAAGGUUA
Molecule: ribosomal RNA, 371 nt
Filed under: uncultured organism
Description: bacterial SSU rRNA
Rfam family: Bacterial small subunit ribosomal RNA
Source: RNAcentral